UACGUAGGUGGCAAGCGUUGUCCGGAUUUAUUGGGUUUAAAGGGUGCGUAGGCGGUUGUAUAAGUCAGUGCUGAAAUAUCCCGGCUUAACCGGGAGGGUGGCAUUGAUACUGUACGACUUGAGUAAAGUUGAGGUUGGCGGAAUUGACGGUGUAGCGGUGAAAUGCUUAGAUAUCGUCAAGAACACCGAUUGCGAAGGCAGCUAACCAAGCUUUAACUGACGCUGAGGCACGAAAGUGUGGGGAUCAAACAGG
Molecule: ribosomal RNA, 253 nt
Filed under: uncultured bacterium
Lineage: Bacteria
Description: partial 16S ribosomal RNA
Rfam family: Bacterial small subunit ribosomal RNA
Source: RNAcentral